AAGGAAUAUUGGUCAAUGGAGGGAACUCUGAACCAGCCAUGCCGCGUGCAGGAUGACUGCCCUAUGGGUUGUAAACUGCUUUUAUCGGGGAAUAAACCUACGUUUGUAAACGUAGCUGAAUGUACCCGAAGAAUAAGGAUCGGCUAACUCCGUGCCAGCAGCCGCGGUAAUACGGAGGAUCCAAGCGUUAUCCGGAUUUAUUGGGUUUAAAGGGUGCGUAGGCGGUUCUUUAAGUCAGAGGUGAAAGACGGCAGCUUAACUGUCGCAGUGCCUUUGAUACUGAAGAACUUGAAUGCGGUUGAGGAAUGCGGAAUGAGACAAGUAGCGGUGAAAUGCAUAGAUAUGUCUCAGAACCCCGAUUGCGAAGGCAGCAUUCCAAGCCGUUAUUGACGCUGAUGCACGAAAGCGUGGGGAUCGAACAGGAUUAGAUACCCUGGUAGUCCACGCCCUAAACGAUGAUAACUCGAUGUUGGCGAUAGACAGUCAGCGUCCCAGCGAAAGCGUUAAGUUAUCCACCUGGGGAGUACGCCCGCAAGGGUG
RNAcentral lists this ribosomal RNA (540 nucleotides) under uncultured bacterium. RNAcentral describes it as "bacterial SSU rRNA". It matches the Rfam family "Bacterial small subunit ribosomal RNA", at positions 356 to 896 of the family's 1533-position model. The record is from RNAcentral.